This 253-nucleotide ribosomal RNA is filed under the name uncultured bacterium. Its description in RNAcentral is "partial 16S ribosomal RNA". It matches the Rfam family "Bacterial small subunit ribosomal RNA", at positions 524 to 776 of the family's 1533-position model. RNAcentral also lists the same sequence under 1 other name. The record is from RNAcentral.
UACGUAGGCAGCGAGCGUUGUUCGGAGUUACUGGGCGUAAAGAGUGCGUAGGCGGUUUUCUAAGUUUGGUGUGAAAUCUCCCGGCUUAACUGGGAGGGUGCGCCGAAGACUGGAAGGCUUGAGUAUGGGAGAGGUAAGCGGAAUUCCUGGUGUAGCGGUGAAAUGCGUAGAUAUCAGGAGGAACACCUGCGGUGUAGACGGCUUACUGGACCAUCACUGACGCUGAGGCACGAAAGCGUGGGUAGCAAACAGG